Molecule: long non-coding RNA, 12379 nt
Filed under: Xyrichtys novacula (pearly razorfish)
Lineage: Eukaryota; Metazoa; Chordata; Actinopteri; Labriformes; Labridae
Source: RNAcentral
CUGUGAGUUUUCAAAACACGAGGCUUUCAGAAAUCAUCAGAAGCGACUCAGACUCGCCGUUUAAGUGUCGAACCAGCAGGUUAGUCUUUUGAAUCAAACAUGGUUCUUUUAUUUCUCUGAGAGUGCGGCUGAAAGCUGCAGAAACUGGAGACUUCCACUCAGUGCCAAACUGAGACUGAUUUUCAACCCGAACAAAGACAGGGCCAACAAAAUCCCCUCAUUAGGCAAUCAGCUGAGCAGCAGGGGGACGGGGGGCCGGGGACAGCGCAGCAUUUGGCCGAGCUAAGAGGCAGAAAGAAAAGCCUCCCAGCAGCAACCAAAGCACGCUGCAGCUCUCUGAGAGCGAGCGGCGAAAAUAAGAGCGGCUUCCUCUGAGGACCGCAGACUUUUCUGCUCCGUCAGUCAUGCGGUUCCUUCAAGCCCACACCCUUCAAACAAGAAACAGCACUCAGCUCAGAAAAUGUGGAGCUUUCCAGGCCAGAAAAUCCGCCCUGGAUGUGAAAUCUGCACGGUUCUUUCAGACGAGAGGUUUGAAACUUAAAUACUGAGCGCUUCUGUCUUUGGAACGCAGAAAUAAAAAGGUUCAUUACUGACGGAAUCUAUAUUCCUUGAUUCAUCCCUCAGUGGGGAAAUUAAAAUCGUUGACAGUAGCAGUACACACAACAUACACAUUCACACCAGGUACAAAAACCAAUAAAUAAAGAUAAAGGUGAUAUAAAGGUGGUAAAAACCUCAGGAUUUACGGCGCGGCGUCGUAAAGCUGGUCCCAGUUCAGGGCUGUGUCUCACUUCCUACUGUCAUAAAUCUGACUCUUACUGCUGAAGGUUCCUUCGUUCCUCGGGUGCACGGGAGUCAAAGGUCAAUCUGCACAUGGGUCUACUCAAGAUGGGUCCUUGGUGGUCUUCUACAUCUCAAGAUUUGUGGCUAAGAGUGCUCUUAAACUCUGGCUGGUAGAAACACGGAAUCCUUCGCCGUCAUUCACAGUGUCUCACACAGUAAAAUUCAGGUAAGUGUUUUAUUUUUCAGGACAAAUCCAUGAAGGUACUCAAAAAAUGCUCCAGCGGUUAGAGCAUCAGGAGGGAGAUUUACGUUUGACUGGUCCCCCCCUCUUGGGAAAUGAUGGAGCGUCAUUACAGGUAAUAAGCAGUAAUCCCAGCGAUCAGUGCAGUAAUCUCACUCAUUUCCUGUGCUGUUCAAACUGGGGAGGAUCAUCGACAGCUUCAGUCGACCGUCUCAGACGUGACGAUACAUACACAUGAAAAAAAGAGAAAAAAAGACUCGAUAGUGCACCCUACAGUUUUCAUGCUCAGGGAGUUUCCUGCAUAACGUCCCAAACACUUGGUCAACCUCCACCAGAUUUUUUCAGACUAUACUAGGACAUUUUUAUCAUACUAUACAAUAUGUUGUAUUGUUUUCAUCCUUAAAUCAGAAAAAAAAAUUAUACUAAAAUUUGAAAUUUUGGUCAUAGUAUACUAUGACGUUUUUUUUCCAGACUCAGAUAAGAUUUUUUUUUUUCCUGGUAUAAUAUGACAUUUUUAACAUACUUUACUAUGGCAUUGUAAUCAGACUACACUAUUACAUGUUUUUUCAUCCUAAAAUCUGAAAUUUGUUUUUACACUAAAAUUUGAAAUUUUGGUCAUAGUAUACUAUGAUGUUAUUUUUCCAGACUCAAAUUAGAAUUUUUUUUAAAGCCUAAAAUGUGACAUUUUUGACAUACUUUACUACGGCAUUGUGAUCAGACUAUACUUUUGCAUGUUCUUUUAUCCUAAAAUCAGAAUUUUUUUUUACACUAAAAUUUGAAAUUUUGGUCAUAGUAUACUAUGACAUUUUUUUUCCAGACUCAGAUAAGAUUUUUUUUUUCCUGGUAAAAUAUGAUAUUUUUAACAUACUUUACCAUGGCAUUGUGAUCAGACUAUACUUUUGCAUGUUCUUUCAUCCUAAAAUCAGAAAUUUUUUUUUACACUAAAAUUCUCGAUUUUGGUUAUAGUAUACUAUGUCGUUUUUUUUCCAGACUCUGAUAGGAUUUUUUUUUUUCCUGGUAAAAUAUGACAUUUUUAACAUACUUUACUAUGGCAUUGUGAUCAGACUAUACUAUUACAUGUUUUUCAUCCUAAAAUCAGAAAUUUUUUUUACACUCAAAUUUGAACUUUUGGUCAUAGUAAACUAUGACGUUUUUUUUCCAGACUCAAAUUUGAAUUUUUUGUUUGCUGAUAAAAUAUGACAUUUUUAACAUCCUAUACUAUGGCAUUGUGAUCAGACUAUUCUUUUGCAUGUUCUUUUAUCCUAAAAUCAGAAAAAAAAAUUUACACUAAAAUUUGAAAUUUUGGUCAUAGUAUACUAUGACGUUUUUUUUCCAGACUCAAAUUUGAAUUAUUUGUUUGCUGAUAAAAUAUGACAUUUUUUACAUCCUAUACUAUGGCAUUGUGAUCAGACUAUACUUUUGCAUGUUCUUUUAUCCUAAAAUCAGAAAAAAGUUUUUACACUAAAAUUUGAACUUUUGGUCAUAGUAUUCUAUGACGUUUUUUUUCCAGAAUGAUAUUUGAAUUUUUUUAAAGGCUAAAAUGUGACAUUUUUAACAUACUUUACUAUGGCAUUGUAAUCAGACUAUACUGUUACAUGUUUUUUUAUCCUAAAAUCAGAAAUUUUUUAUUACACUAAAAUUCUCGAUUUUGGUCAUAGUAUACUAUGACGUUUUUUUUCCAGACUCAGAUAAGAUUUUUUUUUUUUCCUGGUAAAAUAUGACAUUUUUAACAUACUUUACUAUGGCAUUGUGAUCAGACUAUACUUUUGCAUGUUCUUUUAUCCUAAAAUCAGAAAUUUUUUUUUACACUAAAAUUUGAAUUUUUGGUCAUAGUAUACAAUGACGUUUUUUUUCCAGACUCAGAUAAGAUUUUUUUUUUUCCUGGUAAAAUAUGACAUUUUUAACAUACUUUACUAUGGCAUUGUGAUCAGACUAUACUAUUACAUGUUUUUUCAUCCUAAAAUCAGAAUUUUUUUUUUACACUAAAAUUUGAACUUUUGGUCAUAGUAAACUAUGACGUUUUUUUUCCAGACUCAGAUAUUAUUUUUUAUUUUCCUGGUAAAAAAUGACAUUUUUAACAUACUUUACUAUGGCAUUGUAAUCAGACUAUACUUUUGCAUGUUCUUUUAUCCUAAAAUAAGAAUUUUUUUUUACACUAAAAUUCUCGAUUUUGGUCAUAGAAAAAAUGACGUGAAUGAUUUUUUUUUUUCCUGGUAAAAUAUGACAUUUUUAACAUACUUUACUAUGGCAUUGUGAUCAGACUAUACUAUUACAUGUUUUUUCAUCCUAAAAUCAGAAUUUUUUUUUUACACUAAAAUUUGAACUUUUGGUCAUAGUAAACUAUGACGUUUUUUUUCCAGACUCAAAUUUGAAUUUUUUGUUUGCUGAUAAAAUAUGACAUUUUUAACAUACUUUACUAUGGCAUUUUGAUCAGACUAUUCUUUUGCAUGUUCUUUUAUCCUAAAAUCAGAAAAAAAAAUUUACACUAAAAUUUGAAAUUUUGGUCAUAGUAUACUAUGACGUUUUUUUUUUUCCAGACUCAGAUAAGAUUUUUUUUUUUCCUGGUAAAAUGACAUUUUUAACAUAUUUUACUAUGGCAUUGUAAUCAGACUAUACUAUUACAUGUUUUUUCAUCCUAAAAUCAGAAAUUUUUUUUUACACUAAAAUUUGAACUUUUGGUCAUAGUAUACUAUGACGUUUUUUUUUUUUCAGACUCAAAUUUGAAUUUUUUCGUUCAGGUUUAGAUAUGACAUUUUUAACAAACUAUACUAUGGCAUUUUGAUCAAACUAUACUAUGGCAUGUUUUUUCAUCCUAAAAUCACAAUUUUUUUUUACACUAAAAUUUGAAAUUUUGGUCAUAGUAUACUAUGACGUUAUUGUUCCAGACUAAAAUUUGAAUUUUUUUUUAAAUGCUUAAAUGUGACAUUUUUAACAUCCUAUACUAUGGCAUUGUGAUCAGACAAUACUACUGCAUAUUUUUUCAUCCUAAAAUCAGAAUUUUUUUUUACACUAAAAUUUGAAAUUUUGGUCAUAGUAUACUAGGACGUUUUUUUUUUCCAGACUCAGAUAAGAUUUUUUUUUUCCUGGUAAAAUAUGACAUUUUUAACAUAUUUUACUAUGGCAUUGUAAUCAGACUAUACUAUUACAUGUUUUUUCAUCCUAAAAUCAGAAUUUUUUUUUUUACACUAAAAUUUGAACUUUUGGUCAUAGUAUACCAUGACGUUUUUUUUUUCCAGACUCAAAUUUGAAUUUUUUGGUUAAGGUUUAAAUAUGACAUUUUUAACAUACUUUACUAUGGCAUUUUGAUCAAACUAUACUAUGGCAUGUUUUUUCAUCCUAAAAUCACAAUUUUUUUUUUUUUACACUAAAAUUUGAAAUUUUGGUCAUAGUAUACUAUGACGUUAUUGUUCCAGACUAAAAUUUGAAUUUUUUUUUAAAUGCUUAAAUGUGACAUUUUUAACAUCCUAUACUAUGGCAUUGUGAUCAGACAUUACUAUUGCAUAUUUUUUCAUCCUAAAAUCAGAAUUUUUUUUUUUACACUAAAAUUCUAAAUUUUUGUCAGAGUAUACUAUGACGUUUUUUUUUUUCCAGACUCAGAUAAGAUUUUUUUUUUUUCCUGGUAAAAUAUGACAUUUUUAACAUACUUUACUAUGGCAUUGUAAUCAGACUAUACUAUUACAUGUUUUUUCAUCCUAAAAUCAGAAAUUUUUUUUACACUAAAAUUUGAACUUUUGGUCAUAGUAUACUAUGACGUUUUUUUUUUUUCAGACUCAAAUUUGAAUUUUUUCGUUCAGGUUUAGAUAUGACAUUUUUAACAAACUAUACUAUGGCAUUUUGAUCAAACUAUACUAUGGCAUGUUUUUUCAUCCUAAAAUCACAAUUUUUUUUUACACUAAAAUUUGAAAUUUUGGUCAUAGUAUACUAUGACGUUAUUGUUCCAGACUAAAAUUUGAAUUUUUUUUUAAAUGCUUAAAUGUGACAUUUUUAACAUCCUAUACUAUGGCAUUGUGAUCAGACAAUACUACUGCAUAUUUUUUCAUCCUAAAAUCAGAAUUUUUUUUUACACUAAAAUUUGAAAUUUUGGUCAUAGUAUACUAUGACGUUUUUUUUCCAGACUCAGAUAAGAAUUUUUUUUUUCCUGGUAAAAUAUGACAUUUUUAACAUAUUUUACUAUGGCAUUGUAAUCAGACUAUACUAUUACAUGUUUUUUCAUCCUAAAAUCAGAAAUUUUUUUUUUACACUAAAAUUUGAACUUUUGGUCAUAGUAUACCAUGACGUUUUUUUUUUCCAGACUCAAAUUUGAAUUUUUUGGUUAAGGUUUAAAUAUGACAUUUUUAACAAACUAUACUAUGGCAUUUUGAUCAAACUAUACUAUGGCAUGUUUUUUCAUCCUAAAAUCACAAUUUUUUUUUACACUAAAAUUUGAAAUUUUGGUCAUAGUAUACUAUGACGUUAUUGUUCCAGACUAAAAUUUGAAUUUUUUUUUAAAUGCUUAAAUGUGACAUUUUUAACAUCCUAUACUAUGGCAUUGUGAUCAGACAAUACUACUGCAUAUUUUUUCAUCCUAAAAUCAGAAUUUUUUUUUACACUAAAAUUUGAAAUUUUGGUCAUAGUAUACUAUGACGUUUUUUUUCCAGACUCAGAUAAGAUUUUUUUUUUUCCUGGUAAAAUAUGACAUUUUUAACAUAUUUUACUAUGGCAUUGUAAUCAGACUAUACUAUUACAUGUUUUUUCAUCCUAAAAUCAGAAUUUUUUUUUUUACACUAAAAUUUGAACUUUUGGUCAUAGUAUACCAUGACGUUUUUUUUUUUCCAGACUCAAAUUUGAAUUUUUUGGUUAAGGUUUAAAUAUGACAUUUUUAACAUACUUUACUAUGGCAUUUUGAUCAAACUAUACUAUGGCAUGUUUUUUCAUCCUAAAAUCACAAUUUUUUUUUUUUUACACUAAAAUUUGAAAUUUUGGUCAUAGUAUACUAUGACGUUAUUGUUCCAGACUAAAAUUUGAAUUUUUUUUUAAAUGCUUAAAUGUGACAUUUUUAACAUCCUAUACUAUGGCAUUGUGAUCAGACAUUACUAUUGCAUAUUUUUUCAUCCUAAAAUCAGAAUUUUUUUUUUUACACUAAAAUUCUAAAUUUUUGUCAUAGUAUACUAUGACGUUAUUUUUUUCAGACUCAAAUUUGAAUUUUUUGUUUGCUAAUAAAAUAUGACAUUUUUUACAUCCUAUACUAUGGCAUUGUGAUAAGACUAUUCUUUUGCAUGUUCUUUUAUCCUAAAAUCAGAAUUUUUUUUUACACUAAAAUUUGAAAUUUUGGUCAUAGUAUACUAUGACGUUUUUUUUUUUCCAGACUCAAAUUUGAAUUUUUUGGUUCAGGUUUAAAUAUGACAUUUUUAACAAACUAUACUAUGGCAUUUUGAUCAAACUAUACUAUGGCAUGUUUUUUCAUCCUAAAAUCACAAUUUUUUUUUACACUAAAAUUUGAAAUUUUGGUCAUAGUAUACUAUGACGUUAUUGUUCCAGACUAAAAUUUGAAUUUUUUUUUAAAUGCUUAAAUGUGACAUUUUUAACAUCCUAUACUAUGGCAUUGUGAUCAGACAAUACUACUGCAUAUUUUUUCAUCCUAAAAUCAGAAUUUUUUUUUACACUAAAAUUUGAAAUUUUGGUCAUAGUAUACUAUGACGUUUUUUUUCCAGACUCAGAUAAGAAUUUUUUUUUUCCUGGUAAAAUAUGACAUUUUUAACAUAUUUUACUAUGGCAUUGUAAUCAGACUAUACUAUUACAUGUUUUUUCAUCCUAAAAUCAGAAAUUUUUUUUUUACACUAAAAUUUGAACUUUUGGUCAUAGUAUACCAUGACGUUUUUUUUUUCCAGACUCAAAUUUGAAUUUUUUGGUUAAGGUUUAAAUAUGACAUUUUUAACAAACUAUACUAUGGCAUUUUGAUCAAACUAUACUAUGGCAUGUUUUUUCAUCCUAAAAUCACAAUUUUUUUUUACACUAAAAUUUGAAAUUUUGGUCAUAGUAUACUAUGACGUUAUUGUUCCAGACUAAAAUUUGAAUUUUUUUUUAAAUGCUUAAAUGUGACAUUUUUAACAUCCUAUACUAUGGCAUUGUGAUCAGACAAUACUACUGCAUAUUUUUUCAUCCUAAAAUCAGAAUUUUUUUUUACACUAAAAUUUGAAAUUUUGGUCAUAGUAUACUAUGACGUUUUUUUUCCAGACUCAGAUAAGAUUUUUUUUUUUCCUGGUAAAAUAUGACAUUUUUAACAUAUUUUACUAUGGCAUUGUAAUCAGACUAUACUAUUACAUGUUUUUUCAUCCUAAAAUCAGAAUUUUUUUUUUACACUAAAAUUUGAACUUUUGGUCAUAGUAUACCAUGACGUUUUUUUUUUCCAGACUCAAAUUUGAAUUUUUUGGUUAAGGUUUAAAUAUGACAUUUUUAACAUACUUUACUAUGGCAUUUUGAUCAAACUAUACUAUGGCAUGUUUUUUCAUCCUAAAAUCACAAUUUUUUUUUUUUACACUAAAAUUUGAAAUUUUGGUCAUAGUAUACUAUGACGUUAUUGUUCCAGACUAAAAUUUGAAUUUUUUUUUAAAUGCUUAAAUGUGACAUUUUUAACAUCCUAUACUAUGGCAUUGUGAUCAGACAUUACUAUUGCAUAUUUUUUCAUCCUAAAAUCAGAAUUUUUUUUUUACACUAAAAUUCUAAAUUUUUGUCAUAGUAUACUAUGACGUUAUUUUUUUCAGACUCAAAUUUGAAUUUUUUGUUUGCUAAUAAAAUAUGACAUUUUUUACAUCCUAUACUAUGGCAUUGUGAUAAGACUAUUCUUUUGCAUGUUCUUUUAUCCUAAAAUCAGAAUUUUUUUUUACACUAAAAUUUGAAAUUUUGGUCAUAGUAUACUAUGACGUUUUUUUUUUCCAGACUCAAAUUUGAAUUUUUUGGUUCAGGUUUAAAUAUGACAUUUUUAACAAACUAUACUAUGGCAUUUUGAUCAAACUAUACUAUGGCAUGUUUUUUCAUCCUAAAAUCACAAUUUUUUUUUACACUAAAAUUUGAAAUUUUGGUCAUAGUAUACUAUGACGUUAUUGUUCCAGACUAAAAUUUGAAUUUUUUUUUAAAUGCUUAAAUGUGACAUUUUUAACAUCCUAUACUAUGGCAUUGUGAUCAGACAAUACUACUGCAUAUUUUUUCAUCCUAAAAUCAGAAUUUUUUUUUACACUAAAAUUUGAAAUUUUGGUCAUAGUAUACUAUGACGUUUUUUUUCCAGACUCAGAUAAGAUUUUUUUUUUUCCUGGUAAAAUAUGACAUUUUUAACAUAUUUUACUAUGGCAUUGUAAUCAGACUAUACUAUUACAUGUUUUUUCAUCCUAAAAUCAGAAUUUUUUUUUUUACACUAAAAUUUGAACUUUUGGUCAUAGUAUACCAUGACGUUUUUUUUUUUCCAGACUCAAAUUUGAAUUUUUUGGUUAAGGUUUAAAUAUGACAUUUUUAACAUACUUUACUAUGGCAUUUUGAUCAAACUAUACUAUGGCAUGUUUUUUCAUCCUAAAAUCACAAUUUUUUUUUUUUUACACUAAAAUUUGAAAUUUUGGUCAUAGUAUACUAUGACGUUAUUGUUCCAGACUAAAAUUUGAAUUUUUUUUUAAAUGCUUAAAUGUGACAUUUUUAACAUCCUAUACUAUGGCAUUGUGAUCAGACAUUACUAUUGCAUAUUUUUUCAUCCUAAAAUCAGAAUUUUUUUUUUUACACUAAAAUUCUAAAUUUUUGUCAUAGUAUACUAUGACGUUAUUUUUUUCAGACUCAAAUUUGAAUUUUUUGUUUGCUAAUAAAAUAUGACAUUUUUUACAUCCUAUACUAUGGCAUUGUGAUAAGACUAUUCUUUUGCAUGUUCUUUUAUCCUAAAAUCAGAAUUUUUUUUUACACUAAAAUUUGAAAUUUUGGUCAUAGUAUACUAUGACGUUUUUUUUUUUCCAGACUCAAAUUUGAAUUUUUUGGUUCAGGUUUAAAUAUGACAUUUUUAACAAACUAUACUAUGGCAUUUUGAUCAAACUAUACUAUCGCAUGUUCUUUUAUCCUAAAAUCACAAUUUUUUUUUUUACACUAAAAUUUAAAAUUUUGGUCAUAGUAUACUAUGACGUUUUUUAUAUCCUGACUAAAUUUGAAUUUUUUUUUAAAGCCUAAAAUGUGAAAAAAGAUUAACACCCAAAUAUGACAUUUUUAUCAUCCUAUACUAUGACAUCUUUUUUUUAUCAUAGUUUAUUUUUUCUUUAAUUUUAUUCUUUUAUCAUUCUGAACUAUGAUUUUUAAAAUAUCCUAUACUAUGUGUUUUUUUUAACCCACUAUACCAUGGAGCGGCAGUAGCUCAGGAGAUGGAGCGGUCGUCCAAUAACUGGAAGGUUGCUGGUUUAGAUUCCUUCCAUCCUGAGGCCUUCAUCAUGUCCUUGUGCGAGGCACUGAACCUACCUUGCUCCUCGCGUGUGUCCUCCACUGGUGUGCAAUUGUACGCAUUGUGCGGUGGCGGUUGGAGAGGCUGUAGGCGUGAACUGGUGGCCAGCUGCAACUACUACGGUAGUUAACCAUUAUGAGGGUGUGACUGUGUGAGCAUUUCUCCAACUGCGAUCUCUUUCUGAUGCUAACCUAAUUAAAUGACUAAAACUGAAGACUGAGGUUUUGCACAAACACUGGUUCUCAUUUCUCUGACUGCUGCUGCUGCUUCAGGGGGAGACUUUCAUCCCAGUGAAGGAUAAAAUGGAUCAAAAUAAAACCUCACGGUGGAAAAUCAAACCUUGUAUAUCCUUUUUCUUUCAACCUCUCCAACCUUGUACUCAGUCACAUUGUUACAGAGCCGAUUCCCUGCCUCUGCUAAUGUUGGUGAAGGGCGUUUCAUGCAUACUGAACAUAUUUACAUUUCAAAACACUCUGGCUCCACAAAAAAAACCUCUUGAGACCAAGGCAAACUGAACUGGUAACAGGCAUUUUACUGGUGAAGAGAGGGCAAAAGGCUGCUGGAUCAUACUACAGUAUGAGAUUUUUUAUCACACUAUAUUUUGACUUAUUUUUUGACUUACAAUACUUUUACGUUUAUUUUAAUACUAAAAUAUUUAAAAAAUGCACUAAAAUAUGACAUUUUUAUCAUACUAUACUAUGACUUUUUUCAUACUAAAAUAUAAAAUUCUUUCACACUAAAAUAUUUAAUUUUUAAUAUACUUUACUAUGACAUUCAUUUUCAUUCUAAAAUAUUUUUAAAAAAAUGCACACUAAUUUAUUAUAUUUUUAUCGUACUAUACUAUGACAAUUUUCCCACUAAAAUAUGAAAUUUUCACAUAUUUUAUUAUGACAUUAUUAUCAUAUUAUACUAUGAAAUUUAUUUUCAUAGAAAUAUAUUUGUAAAAAUCACACUGAAUUAUGCAUUUUUUAUCAAACUAAUUGGAUGACAUUUUUUCAUCUUAAACGUGCUUUUUUCAUACUAAAAUGUAAAAAAAUUCACACUUAACUAUGAAAUUUUUAGCAAACUAUACUAUGACAUUUUUAUUAAACUAUACUAUAACAUUUUUAUUAAACUAUACUAUGACAUUUUUAUUAAACUAUACUAUAACAUUUUUAUUAAACUAUACUAUAACAUUUUUAUUAAACUAUACUAUGACAUUUUUAUUAAACUAUACUAUGACUUUUUCAUUGUAAAAUAUUUUUUAAAAAUUUACACUAAAAUAUUAAAUUUUUAUCAUACUAUACUGACAUUUUUAUCAUACUAUUCUAUGACAUGUUUCUCAUUCUGUAGUAUGAUAUUUUUUUAACAUACUAUGACAUUUAUUAUACUAUAGCAUCUUUUACUACUUCUUACAUACUAUACUAUGAAAUUUUUUUAUCAUGAUAUACCAUGACAUUUUUAUCACACUUUAAUUUAAUAUGACGUUUUUUUAACCUACUUAACUAUGACAAUUUUAAACAUACUAUACUAUGACACUUAUUCAGUACGGAGGGCAUUUCAUGUAUAUAGAACAUAUUUACAUUUCAAAACACGCUUCAGACCAAGGCGAACUGAACAAGAGAGACGGGAAAAAGCAUUUCACAGGCAAAGAAAGGAAGCGAGGCUGCCCCCAGGGGACGGGAUAUUAACACAGCAGAAUAACACAGGAAACAGUUAGCAGCUGUACAUAUAUAUUUAAUUUAUAUACAGAUUUAAAGGCCUAAUGUCAUAAUGGAGCCAGGAUAUCCUUCCUUCAAAAGAAGCACUCAUGAAUAAUAAUAAUAAUAAUAAUAAUAAUAGACACAAUAGGCAGCAGAGAUAGGCUUCAUUCAGAAAUGUGACAUCAAUCCCAAAGGACACUGUUCAGGCGGUCACACAUCUUUCCUUCUGAAUACACAAUUAUUGCAAUUGAAACAGUCAGCCUUAAGAAAUAAAAAAAUAAAAAAACUCUUUAAUGUCGGAGUCGAAUUUUUUAACCCCCGAGACAUUUGGAAUAAAAUGGAAAAAGGAAAUAUAAUACACAACCCUCACAGCUCACGCAUUAGCAUGACAAGCAAUUAUAUUUCUAUUAACUCGCCGUUAGCCGAGUUUUACGGCUGUUAUUGACUGAACUGGAGAACAUCCUUGACCAAUUCACAAAAGGCUGUCACUGGUUAUUCAUCAACAGCGCUGAUGGAAACCUCGGAGAAGUAAGGAAGAGGAGCAGGAAGCGUUAACGACGAGUCUGGAGGCCGGGGCGAGAGGGAGUCGCGUUGAAGUACUUAAAGAGAGAAAAGAAACCAGCGCGGAGCGGGAUCUGAAGGUCAGAGGGCGAGUGUAGAGUUCUCUAAACCUGCAGGAACAAUGACGGAAGUGUUCAGAAACUUCAGUUCCUCAGGGGGGACUAAAACAGCUGGUGCUGCUGGAGGUCAAAGUUCAUCUUUACAGCGUACAAUCUGCUGCACACAACUCUGUUUUCAUCCUCAUUUCUUUAUUCGUACAAACUGUGCGUGGGUUAAAGAGCAUCAGAGACUCGACAUGUACUUAUAGAGCGAAAUAAAGACACAUCACUCUGACGCUGUUAUCUGAAUUCAUACACAAGGAUGAAGACACGACCAUGUACCGAAAAAUGUCAGCAAACAUCGGAAGCGUAGAUGCCAGGAUGUCCUUCUACUUUAUGUUGUACACGGCGGCAUGUAUGAAACAUGUUUAUACCCUCCUCUGACUAACCAUAAUCCUUUAUUCAGGGAGGAGACCAGGCAUUGACCCAGCUGCCAGGAGAGAUAACGGAGCGAGGCCUCAGCCUGAUGGAUGAGCCGGCCAGAAGGUCAGAGUCCACGGCCAGCUGAUGUGACGAAAGAAAGUCUGCUCUUCACAUGGAAAGCUGCUCAGAAUGUAAAGAGACAUCCAAUUUUUAC